CCUUUGUAAUCUAUUUAAAGCCAUCCCAGAGCGAUCUUUUAACCCAAAGCGGAACUGCAGCCAAUUAGCCGUUCAAUCAGACUGUUUGCAUCCACAGAGCAGGUGCUCCGGCACUCCUACCUCUGCUCAUGUCCAGUCUGUCACUCAAUCCAAGAUCAUUAGGACAAUAAAUGUACAUAUGUCAUAUUCCAGUUUCCCCAUCUGCCAAAAAAAUAAAGUAAAAAUAAAAGACGAAGAAACUAGGCCAUCAUACAUACUAUGUAUACUACUACUGAUAACAAAGGCUGGCUGAUUAAGCCCUGUCCAAAGAUUCAUGAGCAAAAUCAGGAGAGAAGGCACGGGGGGUUUCAAAUUCUGUCAUUGAACUUAACAUUGGUGAAGAGGAGGAGGAAUACACGUAUAGGGGAGUAGAAGAAAGAGGGGGAGCAGAAACGGAAUGGCAACUGAUAUGCUAGUUGGUCGCGCGACUGGCCGGCAACAACAAUGGAUCCAGCCCACAAUCUCCUCCGCUCCUAAUCAAUCUCCCAAUCGCUCCGCACUGCUCCCCAUAAGCGCCAGAAAACAAAUUUGUUCUUCUUCGUGCGCCACUAGACCCGCUAAGAAAGUGUACCAAAGGGGCGGCGAAUGGAUGGAGAAUGGCGAACGAGAGAGGAAAACAUUUACCGCUAAACCGUUAAAUUAAGUAACGCCCACACCCACACGCCCCAACCGACAGGUGGCGUUGCGAAUGGUGUUCAAAAUAUCUGGAAAUAAAGGAAGGAAUAAUCAACUUAAUGGAAAGUUGUACUUUA
Long non-coding RNA from Drosophila persimilis, 791 nucleotides. RefSeq lists it as uncharacterized. NCBI's taxonomy places the organism in Eukaryota, Metazoa, Arthropoda, Insecta, Diptera, Drosophilidae. The transcript has 2 exons. The record is from RefSeq and is a predicted model, not a curated record.